This 663-nucleotide ribosomal RNA is filed under the name Exiguobacterium chiriqhucha. RNAcentral describes it as "bacterial SSU rRNA". It matches the Rfam family "Bacterial small subunit ribosomal RNA", at positions 57 to 703 of the family's 1533-position model. Lineage: Bacteria; Bacillati; Bacillota; Bacilli; Caryophanales. The record is from RNAcentral.
GCAGGAAAUCGACGGAACCCUUCGGGGGGAAGUCGACGGAAUGAGCGGCGGACGGGUGAGUAACACGUAAAGAGCCUGCCCUCAGGUCUGGGAUAACCACGAGAAAUCGGGGCUAAUACCGGAUGGGUCAUCGGACCGCAUGGUCCGAGGAUGAAAGGCGCUUCGGCGUCGCCUGGGGAUGGCUUUGCGGUGCAUUAGCUAGUUGGUGGGGUAAUGGCCCACCAAGGCGACGAUGCAUAGCCGACCUGAGAGGGUGAUCGGCCACACUGGGACUGAGACACGGCCCAGACUCCUACGGGAGGCAGCAGUAGGGAAUCUUCCACAAUGGACGAAAGUCUGAUGGAGCAACGCCNCGUGAACGAUGAAGGCCUUCGGGUCGUAAAGUUCUGUUGUAAGGGAAGAACAAGUGCCGCAGGCAAUGGCGGCACCUUGACGGUACCUUGCGAGAAAGCCACGGCUAACUACGUGCCAGCAGCCGCGGUAAUACGUAGGUGGCAAGCGUUGUCCGGAAUUAUUGGGCGUAAAGCGCGCGCAGGCGGCCUCUUAAGUCUGAUGUGAAAGCCCCCGGCUCACCGGGGAGGGCCAUUGGAAACUGGGAGGCUUGAGUAUAGGAGAGAAGAGUGGAAUUCCACGUGUAGCGGUGAAAUGCGUAAAGAUGUGGAG